This 460-nucleotide ribosomal RNA is filed under the name uncultured bacterium. Its description in RNAcentral is "partial 16S ribosomal RNA". It matches the Rfam family "Bacterial small subunit ribosomal RNA", at positions 338 to 795 of the family's 1533-position model. The record is from RNAcentral.
GCUACGGGAAGCAGCAGUGAGGAAUAUUGGUCAAUGGACGGAAGUCUGAACCAGCCAUGCCGCGUGCAGGAAGACGGCUCUAUGAGUUGUAAACUGCUUUUGUACAAGGGUAAACCUGAAUACGUGUAUUCAGCUGAAAGUACUGUACGAAUAAGGAUCGGCUAACUCCGUGCCAGCAGCCGCGGUAAUACGGAGGAUCCAAGCGUUAUCCGGAUUUAUUGGGUUUAAAGGGUGCGUAGGCGGAUUGAUAAGUUAGAGGUGAAAUGUCCGGGCUUAAAUCGUGAACUGCCUCUAAAACUGGUGAUCGAGAGAGUAGAUGCGGUAGGCGGAAUGUAUGGUGUAGCGGUGAAAUGCUUAGAGAGCAUACAGAACACCGAUUGCGAAGGCAGCUUACCAAUCUAUAUCUGACGUUGAGGCACGAAAGCGUGGGUAGCAAACAGGAUGAGAUACCCCUGUAGUC